CUUGGUCAUUUAGAGGAAGUAAAAGUCGUAACAAGGUUUCCGUAGGUGAACCUGCGGAAGGAUCAUUAAUGAUUGCGAAUGGUUGCCUUCAGUGCUGGCUCUUAAGAGCAAGUGCACGUUGGUGGCUUUCAUCCAAUACACACUCUGUGAACCUUUGGCCUCUUGCUAGCUUUGGCUGGUAGAGGAUUUUUACACAUAUACUCGAAUGUAAUGAAAAACUAUUGUCGUGCGCAAGCACUAAUGUACAACUUUCAACAACGGAUCUCUUGGCUCUCGCAUCGAUGAAGAACGCAGCGAAAUGCGAUAAGUAAUGUGAAUUGCAGAAUUCAGUGAAUCAUCGAAUCUUUGAACGCACCUUGCACCCUUUGGAAUUCCGAAGGGUAUGCUCGUUUGAGUGUCAUUGUACUCUCACACUCUCUGAUCCUKUGGAUUUGAGGGGUAGUGGACUUGGGUGUUUGCUGCUUUCCUUGUGGCUCACCUCAAAUAUGUUAGUGCACCUUUCAGUUGGACAUAGUACGGCGUGAUAAGUAUCUUCGCCGGCACCUCGCAAGGGGGUGGCUGAUUGGGAGCUCCUGCUGCUUUCAAACCGUCUUCGGACAAUCUNUGACAACCUGACCUCAAAUC
Molecule: ribosomal RNA, 624 nt
Filed under: Sebacinaceae sp. O56
Lineage: Eukaryota; Fungi; Basidiomycota; Agaricomycetes; Sebacinales; Sebacinaceae
Description: eukaryotic LSU rRNA
Rfam family: 5.8S ribosomal RNA (bases 247-400)
Source: RNAcentral